ACUCAUCCUCUCUUUCUCCUCUCUCUCUCUCUCUCUCUCGAUCCGGGGAGGAAGAACCCUAACCCUAGCCAUGCCCAUCUGUGUUACGCUCUCUCCCUUUCUCCAAAGCCCACGAGAGAUCCGAGACAAAGAACCCUAACCGUAGCGAUGGCCUUUUGCCUCCGAGCUCCUCCCUCAUCGCCCUUCUAGUACUUAUCUUCUAGCCGUCCCGCAAUGCAAACGGCCUCUGCCGUCUAGCUUCGAACUUCCUGUUGGGAACUCGGGGAGGCUUCGCCAAAUGGAAUCAAAAAAAUCGAUGGAAUCAAUGGAGGAGGCUGAGAGUUUCCAAGGGCUUGACGGCUUGGAGCUUCUGAGGAGGAGGAGGAGGCGGCGGCAAUGAGUGCACGUACUUGCAGUUCGGACAUGAAGGAGAUGACUUGCGCAGCAUGACGAGGAGAUGGCAGUUCACACAGACUAAUGCCAUCAUGCUGCUGCCACUUGAGCUGCACUGUUUCUUCGUCUCUGAGCUCCCAAAGGUUGAGAUGUUAAGCUCCAACUUCAUCGACUUCUCCUCGAGCCUCACCCAACUCUUCUUCAUCGUCUUCCUGUUCAAGUAGUACAUGUUCCCCGACUGCCACAAAUCAAGGUUACAACACUGAGAUGCCAUCUAGCUGUGUGAUAUAUGAGAAGAACAGGGAGGGAGGGAGAGAGAGAUAGAGAGAAGGUGUUCACUUGUAAGUCCAGGCAUUGUUCCCAUUCUAAAGGGAGGGGAUGAUUGAGGUGGAGAUCAAUCCCAUGAUCCCAAGUCUGCUGCA
Long non-coding RNA from Musa acuminata AAA Group (dessert banana), 794 nucleotides. RefSeq lists it as uncharacterized. The transcript is spliced from 2 exons. The record is from RefSeq and is a predicted model, not a curated record. NCBI's taxonomy places the organism in Eukaryota, Viridiplantae, Streptophyta, Magnoliopsida, Zingiberales, Musaceae.